Molecule: ribosomal RNA, 441 nt
Filed under: uncultured bacterium
Lineage: Bacteria
Description: partial 16S ribosomal RNA
Rfam family: Bacterial small subunit ribosomal RNA
Source: RNAcentral
CCUACGGGUGGCAGCAGUAGGGAAUCUUGCGCAAUGGGCGAAAGCCUGACGCAGCAACGCCGCGUGAUUGAUUAAGCCCUUCGGGGUGUUAAGAUCUGUCAGUGGGGACGAAACUUCACGGUACCCUCAGAGGAAGCACCGGCGAACUCCGAGCCAGCAGCCGCGGUAAUACGGAGGGUGCACGCGUUGUCCGGAAUCAUUGGGGGUAACGAGUUCGUAGGUGGUAUAUUAAGUCUGGUGUUAAAUGCAGAAGCUCAACCUCUGUUCGGCACUGGAUACUGGUAAGCUUGAGUGCGAUAGAAGUAAAGGGAAUUCCUGGUGUAGCGGUGAAAUGCGUAGAUAUCGGGCAGAACUUCGAUGGCGAAGGCGCUUUACUGGGCCGUAAUUGACGCUGAGGAACGAAAGCCGGGGUAGCGAAUGGGAUUAGAUACCCCUGUAGUC